CGGACUUCGGUCCGAUGUCAGCUUCGGACUUCGGUUCGAUGUAGGGGACAAGGUCCCAAUCAGCUUCGGACUUCGGUCUGAUGUCAGCUUCGGACUUCGGUCCGAUGUGAGCUUCGGACUUCGGUUCGAUGUAGGGGACAAGGUCCCAAUCAGCUUCGGAAUUCGGUCUGAUGUCAGCUUCGGACUUCGGUUCGAUGUAGGGGACAAGGUCCCAUUCAGCUUCGGACUUCGGUCCGAUGUAGGGGGCAAGGCCCCAGUUAGUCCGGACUUCGGUCCAAUGCAGUGGGCAAGGCCCAGUAUGUGCUUUAUAUGUUAUUGUGUGGUAUGUGGUAGAUUGGGGGAGCUCACUAAGCUUCGUGCUUACGGUUUUCAGUUUUGGUUUCAGGUACU
This 390-nucleotide long non-coding RNA is filed under the name Lactuca sativa (garden lettuce). RNAcentral's name for it is "long non-coding RNA (LSAT_LNC006471)". The record is from RNAcentral. Lineage: Eukaryota; Viridiplantae; Streptophyta; Magnoliopsida; Asterales; Asteraceae.